Molecule: transfer RNA, 64 nt
Filed under: Leptalpheus forceps
Lineage: Eukaryota; Metazoa; Arthropoda; Malacostraca; Decapoda; Alpheidae
Description: tRNA-Gly
Source: RNAcentral
AUCUUUCUAGUAUAAAAAGUAUAGUUGACUUCCAAUCAACAGGUCUGAAAGCUCAGGAAAGAUA